This 1164-nucleotide ribosomal RNA is filed under the name Helvella ulvinenii. RNAcentral's name for it is "eukaryotic LSU rRNA". The stretch from base 795 to 948 matches the Rfam family "5.8S ribosomal RNA". The record is from RNAcentral. Lineage: Eukaryota; Fungi; Ascomycota; Pezizomycetes; Pezizales; Helvellaceae.
UGCGGAGACAUUAGUACGCCGGCGGGCCACCGUGAAAGGUGACCCGCCGGGUUCGUGCCGGAACUGAUGGCUGGGGGGAAGCUUUUCCGAAAUGCCUCACUCGCGAAGUGAGGCGGACUGUGGGCCUCAGGUAAUGGGAAGAACAGCCACGUCUCCCGGGCGCCCCACCGCCUGGGCGGUGGGUAGUGACCCGGAGCCCCCCAACACCCCGCCGCGGGUGGCGCAUGCACUGUCUGCUCACACGACCAGCGGGCAGUGGUCCUCGGGCGCCGCAGCACUCCCAGCACUUUGUUCGCUCAAUCGCCCAGCUUACACUGUUGACUGGCGAUGGGUACCUCUGCCAAGGGUGCGGGCACUGGUACCGGGGAGGGGGGUGGCGAAAUCGACCUGGCCCGCGGCGGCCGCCAGGGAAGGCCCCGUCGCUACCCAGCGGCGAGCCAGGCCCGGCGAGCUGGGACGAGCCCGGCACCGGCGGGGGACUGGCCCCGGCCAACGACCCCGGGGACGCCUCCCCCGCCGACCGGAACUGUAGCUCAGGGGGCCUCGCGUCGCGCACAGAGCGGGCCACCCAUGAUACGGCCCCCAGGCCGAGGAUGGGCGCCGCCCGGCGCCCGUCCCUCUUCCACGUGGCAAUUUCCAGCCUCCAACCUCCGAGUACACCUCCCCGUUGCUUCCCCCGGGGACGCCCCCGGGGGGAGGUCCCAGAGCGAAACGACGCCGGCCAACCGGGCCGCGCCACGCAGAGUCUGAAGGAGAGAGCGAGGACGCGAACGACGAAAAAGUAAAGGGAAGAAAACUUUCAACAACGGAUCUCUUGGUUCCCGCAUCGAUGAAGAACGCAGCGAAAUGCGAUAGGUAAUGUGAAUUGCAGAAUUCAGUGAAUCAUCGAAUCUUUGAACGCACAUUGCGCCCCCCGGGAUUCCGGGGAGCAUGCCUGUUCGAGCGUCUCCGGGACGACUACUCACGCUGGCGUACGCGUGGUGAUGGCGGCGGUGGCGGCCCCGAGACGGGGGGCCACCGAGCCGGAAUGCAUGGGCGGUCGCCUGCCGCGUGGCCGAGCGUGAUACGACGCAAUCGGCGCUCCCUCGCGGCGAGGCUGCCAGCCCCCGGGCCCGCGCCGGCGGGCGGGGAGACAAUGACCCCUACGAACUCCUCGAAUCAGUA